AUUGAACGCUGGCGGCAGGCCUAACACAUGCAAGUCGAACGGUAACAGGAAGAAGCUUGCUUCUUUGCUGACGAGUGGCGGACGGGUGAGUAAUGUCUGGGAAACUGCCUGAUGGAGGGGGAUAACUACUGGAAACGGUAGCUAAUACCGCAUAACGUCGCAAGACCAAAGAGGGGGACCUUCGGGCCUCUUGCCAUCGGAUGUGCCCAGAUGGGAUUAGCUAGUAGGUGGGGUAACGGCCCACCUAGGCAACGAUCCCUAGCUGGUCUGAGAGGAUGACCAGCCACACUGGAACUGAGACACGGUCCAGACUCCUACGGGAGGCAGCAGUGGGGAAUAUUGCACAAUGGGCGCAAGCCUGAUGCAGCCAUGCCGCGUGUAUGAAGAAGGCCUUCGGGUUGUAAAGUACUUUCAGCGGGGAGGAAGGGAGUAAAGUUAAUACCUUUGCUCAUUGACGUUACCCGCAGAAGAAGCACCGGCUAACUCCGUG
Molecule: ribosomal RNA, 490 nt
Filed under: uncultured bacterium
Lineage: Bacteria
Description: partial 16S ribosomal RNA
Rfam family: Bacterial small subunit ribosomal RNA
Source: RNAcentral